GGAGCAGUGUCUGAGUGGUUUAAAGUACCCGUCUCGAAAACGGAUGUACCAAGUUAUAUAUGGUACCGGGGGUUCGAAUCCCUCCUGCUCCG
RNAcentral lists this transfer RNA (92 nucleotides) under Candidatus Cardinium sp. RNAcentral describes it as "tRNA-Ser". It matches the Rfam family "tRNA". From Rfam's summary of the family: Transfer RNA (tRNA) molecules are approximately 80 nucleotides in length. Their secondary structure includes four short double-helical elements and three loops (D, anti-codon, and T loops). Lineage: Bacteria; Pseudomonadati; Bacteroidota; Cytophagia; Cytophagales; Amoebophilaceae. The record is from RNAcentral.